RNAcentral lists this ribosomal RNA (483 nucleotides) under uncultured bacterium. Its description in RNAcentral is "partial 16S ribosomal RNA". It matches the Rfam family "Bacterial small subunit ribosomal RNA", at positions 28 to 523 of the family's 1533-position model. The record is from RNAcentral.
GACGAACGCUGGCGGCGUGCUUAACACAUGCAAGUCGAACGAUGAACCCGGAGCUUGCUCCGGUGGAUUAGUGGCGAACGGGAGAGUAACACGUGAGCAAUCUGCCCUUGACUCUGGGAUAACUGCGGGAAACUGUAGCUAAUACCGGAUACGACACCUUGGGGCAUCCCAGGGUGUGGAAAGAAUUUCGGUCAAGGAUGAGCUCGCGGCCUAUCAGCUAGUUGGUGAGGUAAUGGCUCACCAAGGCGACGACGGGUAGCCGGCCUGAGAGGGUGACCGGCCACACUGGAACUGAGACACGGUCCAGACUCCUACGGGAGGCAGCAGUGGGGAAUAUUGCACAAUGGGCGAAAGCCUGAUGCAGCAACGCCGCGUGAGGGAUGAAGGCCUUCGGGUUGUAAACCUCUUUUAGCAGGGAAGAAGCGAAAGUGACGGUACCUGCAGAAAAAGCACCGGCUAACUACGUGCCAGCCGCCGCAGUAA